GACGAACCGAGCGAACGUUGUUCGGAAUUACUGGGCGUAAAGGGCGCGUAGGCGGCCUUGUAAGUCCUGUGUGAAAUCCCCCGGCUCAACUGGGGAACUGCACAGGAGACUGCUUGGCUUGAGUUCGGGAGAGGGAAGCGGAAUUCCGGGUGUAGCGGUGAAAUGCGUAGAUAUCCGGAGGAACACCGGUGGCGAAGGCGGCUUCCUGGACCGACACUGACGCUGAGGCGCGAAAGCCAGGGGAGCAAACGGG
RNAcentral lists this ribosomal RNA (253 nucleotides) under uncultured bacterium. Its description in RNAcentral is "partial 16S ribosomal RNA". It matches the Rfam family "Bacterial small subunit ribosomal RNA", at positions 524 to 776 of the family's 1533-position model. The record is from RNAcentral.